AAAAUGACCCCCACUGGGUUGCAUUUGGGCCAGGAGCCUCAGCUGGAUAUGUGAAAUGUUAAGGGUUCUAUGUCUACGGAUCAUAAAAAUGGCAAAAGAGACCUGGAAAAUGCCUGCUCAUAUGCCCUGGGCCAACAUGGAUUUAAGGAAAACACAUCCAUUCUUCCAGCCAUCAGCGCAGUCUGGAAGCCAUAACAAGCCUGUAAGUUUUACUACUUUAUUUUGGAUCCAUCACGGAGAAGAAGCCUGCUGCCAAGCUGACUGGCACACAUGGAGCCCUUACGUGCCAGGGCAUGAAACUAGUCUGCUGAAUGAGGGCCCAGGCUGUAAAUGAGUAUUUGAGUUGAGAACAUCACCAGGAUCAGCAGAAAGGUAAUUGUUCAUUGGCUUAAUUCCUUUGCCUGUGAGAAGAAAAAAAAAAACCAAAGACUCUUGCUGGAUAGAAGCUAAUGGUCUAAAGUAAGGUUCGCUCUUUUGACUUUUACACAUUUCAGGUUUUACCUUUAGAACAUAUAUAAGGAAACACUACCAUUAUGCUAGAGCUAGAAUUAGAAUUAGCCUUCCGUAGGCUCACAGGAUCUUCCCCACAGCAUAGAAUGCAUGAUGAUGCCUGCCUAUUUGGUUGUGUUUUAUAGAUUUGACAAAUAAUUGAGAAAAACAAACUUUCAUCACAGAGUUAAAAUAUUUAAUGACAAAAUGAGAGCUUACUGUAAUCGUGAAUCAUAGAGCAGGUGUUAUUUGUCUCUGAAAGAAACAAAAAUUAUAUUUGACAUCCUAGAGAAACUUCUGAAGAAUUAAUAACUGCACAACAGACAGCCGCGGUGUUACGAUUCUAAAAACUGAAAAGCAAAACCUAUCUUUAUUAUCCCUUAUUUAGGGCAUUCUGUAAAUAUUUUUACAUAAAUUCACAACCUUUGUUAGCCACAAAAGUAUUAAGACAGAUUUCACUGUAAUUUUAAGUCUAACACAAUCUUUUAUUUUUUCAGAGCUUAAAAAAAGUUCACUACUGAUCCUUACAUUUUACAAAUACAUUCUUUAAUAUGAAACAUUAACCUGAACAACUGGAUGCAUCCUGCAUACAGAUAUCUAAUACUAGUGAAGAAAACUACAGCUAUGUUCCAGGAAGAAGCAGUAAUACUGGGGAGCUUUUCUUUAUGUGUUGUCAGUACAAUUGAAGAACUCCUUCACAGAAAGAAAGUGUCCCAAAAUGGAGUGCAGAAAUGAAACAAACGGUCUUCUAGCAGCUCAACCCAACAAAUUGGUCCCAAACAACGUGACAAAUUAGCAAUUUUCUCUAGGCUAGACUGUAUUAAUAUUUUGUAUUGCAGCACCUUCUACAAGAGGAUAGCGAAGCACUUCACAUGUGUCAUCACAGGGCAGCUCUGACAGAGGUCAGGAGGUAGAGGAAAGACAGGGGAUUGUGGUCCUGGCCUCUCCUAAGGUGGAGGCCUAGGUAGGGCUUUGACCCAGGGAGGUCAAGGGCAUGGCCACGGCCUGGAAGCAAAUCAAUAGGGGAAGCUAAUAAAGACCCAGAUAGGCAUUCUAAUCCA
This 1550-nucleotide long non-coding RNA is filed under the name Felis catus (domestic cat). RNAcentral's name for it is "lncRNA (ENSFCAG00000051444.1)". Lineage: Eukaryota; Metazoa; Chordata; Mammalia; Carnivora; Felidae. The record is from RNAcentral.